This 152-nucleotide ribosomal RNA is filed under the name Geobacillus stearothermophilus. RNAcentral's name for it is "partial 23S ribosomal RNA". It matches the Rfam family "Bacterial large subunit ribosomal RNA", at positions 1 to 151 of the family's 2925-position model. Lineage: Bacteria; Bacillati; Bacillota; Bacilli; Caryophanales; Anoxybacillaceae. The record is from RNAcentral.
AGGUUAAGCUAGAAAGGGCGCACGGUGGAUGCCUUGGCACUAGGAGCCGAUGAAGGACGGGGCAAACGCCGAAACGCUCCGGGGAGCUGUAAGCAAGCGUUGAUCCGGAGAUGUCCGAAUGGGGGAACCCACUGUCCGUAAUGGGGCAGUAU